GGGGGUGCACUGGCUUCGACGGGGGUUGCGAAAUUGUCUGGUGCAUGCCGAGGGGGCAGCUUUCCUCGUAAAUCCAGCGGCAAAAUCAUAGUUGCCAACGACGACAACUACGCUCUCGCCGCUUAAGGCGUAAGCCCCGAACCCACUUGUGCCCGUGCUCGUGGAUGUAGGGUCAUUAUCACGGAACCGGCGUUGACGGCUGCCUGUCAGUCAUCGCUUAACCAAAACAGGCUGGUCCUGGGGUGCGCUUCGCACGCCGUGCUGCUCCGGGGCGAGAUCCAACGGUGAGCUAAGCAUGUAGUACCGGGCAUGGAGUGCCUUCGGACGGGGGUUCAAUUCCCCCCACCUCCACCA
Molecule: transfer-messenger RNA, 354 nt
Filed under: Lysobacteraceae
Lineage: Bacteria; Pseudomonadati; Pseudomonadota; Gammaproteobacteria; Lysobacterales
Also listed under: 3 other names
Description: Pseudoxanthomonas_A spadix_A Standard tmRNA
Rfam family: transfer-messenger RNA
About the family: Bacterial tmRNA, also known as 10Sa RNA or SsrA, is named for its dual tRNA and mRNA-like properties. Its role is to liberate the mRNA from a stalled ribosome. To accomplish this part of the tmRNA is used as a reading frame that ends in a translation stop signal.
Source: RNAcentral